GGAAGCUCCUUUCAGAUAGAGACAAGGGAUAUUUGACUUCUUAUCUCUGUUGUCCAGCACAAUGUCCAGAACACAACAGAUAUUCCAUAUGCACAGUCACAUGCUAUGUAUGUGUAUUUUCUUUCCAGAAAGGACUAGAGGUCCUAAGCUUUGUUAAUAUCAUGAGCCAGUGCCCACAUGAGCAGGAGAAUUUUAGCACAGUCACCUACACACUCAUUUCGAUGCUCUGACCCCUUAUCCAAGCCAGUCAAAGUGUGGUCUAUGGUUUUGCAUUUUAAAGAGAUCCCUGGGUGAAUCUUGUGCAUGUUACAGGGAAGCACUGUCCUACAUCCUAUGUGACAGGCUCUCAUAGUCACCAUCAUCAUGGGAAUCUUGCACAUGUUACAGGGAAGCACUGUCCUACAUCAUAUGUGACAGGCUCUCAUAGUCACCAUCAUCACGGGAAUCUUGCACAUGUUACAGGGAAGCACUGUCCUACAUCGUAUGUGACAGGCUCUCAUAAUCACCAUCAUCAUGUGAUCUUGUGCAUGUUACAGGGAAGCACUGUUCUACAUCGUAUCUGACAGGCUCUCAUAGUCACCAUCAUCACGGGAAGCUGCAUUUAGAGCAUUUAACUGUAUGGGCUCUGAAAUCAGAUGACUUAGGUUUGGGCUUGCCUCUACUUCUUACUAAGCAGAGAACUUUGGGGCAUGAUACUUAAUUUUACUAGGCUCAGUUUUAUCAUGUGUAAAUUGGAGGCAAGGGGAAAUUAUAGCAUUUUGCAUAGAAUAUUGUUUUAAGUAUGAA
RNAcentral lists this long non-coding RNA (786 nucleotides) under Homo sapiens (human). RNAcentral's name for it is "HSALNT0082696". Lineage: Eukaryota; Metazoa; Chordata; Mammalia; Primates; Hominidae. The record is from RNAcentral.